AUCCCUGUAGCGUAAUUGAUGGCGUGUUGGACAUUUAAUCCAAAGGUCGUGGGUUUGAACCUUACCUGGGAUG
Molecule: non-coding RNA, 73 nt
Organism: Trichonephila clavipes
Lineage: Eukaryota; Metazoa; Arthropoda; Arachnida; Araneae; Nephilidae
Source: the annotation of a GenBank genome assembly